CCUACGGGAGGCAGCAGUGGGGAAUAUUGGGCAAUGGAGGAAACUCUGACCCAGCGACGCCGCGUGCGGGAUGAAGGCCUUCGGGUUGUAAACCGCUUUCAGUAGGGAAGAAGCGAAAGUGACGGUACCUACAAAAGAAGCACCGGCUAACUAUGUGCCAGCAGCCGCGGUAAUACAUAGGGUGCAAGCGUUGUCCGGAAUUAUUGGGCGUAAAGAGCUCGUAGGUCGUUUGUUACGUCGGAUGUGAAAACCUGAGGCUCAACCUCAGGCCUGCAUUCGAUACGGGCAAACUAGAGUUUGGUAGGGGAGACUGGAAUUCCUGGUGUAGCGGUGGAAUGCGCAGAUAUCAGGAGGAACACCAAUGGCGAAGGCAGGUCUCUGGGCCAAUACUGACACUGAGGGGCGAAAGUCUGGGGAGCGAACAGGAUUAGAUACCCUGGUAGUCCAGACCGUAAACGGUGGGCACUAGUUGUGGGAACCUUCCACGGUUUCUGCGACGCAGCUACGCAUAAGUGCCCGCCGUCGGGUAGGUACGAGUCGCGAAGAAUUAAACUAACAAAGGAAGUUAGACGGCGUGAGACGUCGCCGAACGGACGACGACGAGGGAGGUAGG
Molecule: ribosomal RNA, 613 nt
Filed under: uncultured bacterium
Lineage: Bacteria
Description: bacterial SSU rRNA
Rfam family: Bacterial small subunit ribosomal RNA (bases 1-521)
Source: RNAcentral